This is a long non-coding RNA of Heterocephalus glaber (naked mole-rat), 369 nucleotides long. The record is from Ensembl. NCBI's taxonomy places the organism in Eukaryota, Metazoa, Chordata, Mammalia, Rodentia, Bathyergidae.
AGCUUCCACCCAUCUAUUUACCAUAGCUUCCACCCAUUCUGCCAAUGCUUCUCUGAAACCCAGUAUUGGUACAGACAUUGCUCAGUCCUAACAGGGAUCGCAAGCUUCCACCAGGAAAGGCAAAAGGGAAGAUACACAUGUAUGGAGCUCCUACUGUAUACCUCACCUUGGGCUAAACAAUUCUCAUAUGUCAUCUCACAUAAGCCUUUCAGCAGUGCAUCCCCCUCUCCCCAUCAAGUCCUAGGAUUCACAGCAGAAUAGCUGCAGAGCUGGAGGCCAACCCAGCAGGAACACCACAUCCCAGGCUCUCUGCUCCCAAGGACAUCAGAUUCCAUUUUUGCAGGGGGAGGAGCUUCCCAGCAGCAGGAC